UACAGAGGUCUCAAGCGUUGUUCGGAAUCACUGGGCGUAAAGGGUGCGUAGGCUGCGGAGCAAGUCUGGUGUGAAAUUUGUGAGCUCAACUCGCAACUAGCACCUGAUACUACUUUGCUAGAGAUCUGGAGAGGAGCUUGGAAUUCUCGGUGUAGCAGUGAAAUGCGUAGAUUUCGAGAAGAACGCUCGCUGCGAAAGCGAAGCUCUGGCCAGAUUCUGACGCUGAGGCACGAAGGCUAGGGGAGCAAACGGG
Molecule: ribosomal RNA, 253 nt
Filed under: uncultured bacterium
Lineage: Bacteria
Description: partial 16S ribosomal RNA
Rfam family: Bacterial small subunit ribosomal RNA
Source: RNAcentral